GGCGAGUUACGAUCCCGUGCGAGGUUAAGCUGAAGAGGCGGAGCCGCAGCGAAAGCGAGUCUGAAUAGGGCGUUUAGUACGUGGUCGUAGACCCGAAACCAGGUGAUCUACCCAUGUCCAGGGUGAAGUUCAGGUAACACUGAAUGGAGGCCCGAACCCACGCACGUUGAAAAGUGCGGGGAUGAGGUGUGGGUAGCGGAGAAAUUCCAAUCGAACCUGGAGAUAGCUGGUUCUCCCCGAAAUAGCUUUAGGGCUAGCCUUAAGUGUAAGAGUCUUGGAGGUAGAGCACUGAUUGGACUAGGGGUCCUCAUCGGAUUACCGAAUUCAGUCAAACUCCGAAUGCCAAUGACUUAUCCUUAGGAGUCAGACUGCGAGUGAUAAGAUCCGUAGUCAAAAGGGAAACAGCCCAGACCGCCAGCUAAGGUCCCAAAGUGUGUAUUAAGUGGAAAAGGAUGUGGAGUUGCUUAGACAACUAGGAUGUUGGCUUAGAAGCAGCCACCAUUUAAAGAGUGCGUAAUAGCUCACUAGUCGAGUGACUCUGCGCCGAAAAUGUACCGGGGCUAAAUACACCACCGAAGCUGCGGAUUGAUACCAAUGGUAUCAGUGGUAGGGGAGCGUUCUAAGGACAGUGAAGUCAGACCGGAAGGACUGGUGGAGUGCUUAGAAGUGAGAAUGCCGGUAUGAGUAGCGAAAGACGGGUGAGAAUCCCGUCCACCGAAUGCCUAAGGUUUCCUGAGGAAGGCUCGUCCGCUCAGGGUUAGUCAGGACCUAAGCCGAGGCCGACAGGCGUAGGCGAUGGACAACAGGUUGAUAUUCCUGUACCACCUCUUUAUCGUUUGAGCAAUGGAGGGACGCAGAAGGAUAGAAGAAGCGUGCGAUUGGUUGUGCACGUCCAAGCAGUUAGGCUGAUAAGUAGGCAAAUCCGCUUAUCGUGAAGGCUGAGCUGUGAUGGGGAAGCUCCUUAUGGAGCGAAGUCUUUGAUUCCCCGCUGCCAAGAAAAGCUUCUAGCGAGAUAAAAGGUGCCUGUACCGCAAACCGACACAGGUAGGCGAGGAGAGAAUCCUAAGGUGUGCGAGAGAACUCUGGUUAAGGAACUCGGCAAAAUGACCCCGUAACUUCGGGAGAAGGGGUGCUUUCUUAACGGAAAGCCGCAGUGAAUAGGCCCAAGCGACUGUUUAGCAAAAACACAGCUCUCUGCGAAGCCGUAAGGCGAAGUAUAGGGGGUGACACCUGCCCGGUGCUGGAAGGUUAAGGAGAGGGGUUAGCGUAAGCGAAGCUCUGAACUGAAGCCCCAGUAAACGGCGGCCGUAACUAUAACGGUCCUAAGGUAGCGAAAUUCCUUGUCGGGUAAGUUCCGACCCGCACGAAAGGUGUAACGAUUUGGGCACUGUCUCAACCAGAGACUCGGUGAAAUUAUAGUACCUGUGAAGAUGCAGGUUACCCGCGACAGGACGGAAAGACCCCGUGGAGCUUUACUGUAGCCUGAUAUUGAAUUUUGGUACAGUUUGUACAGGAUAGGCGGGAGCCUUUGAAACCGGAGCGCUAGCUUCGGUGGAGGCGCUGGUGGGAUACCGCCCUGACUGUAUUGAAAUUCUAACCUACGGGUCUUAUCGACCCGGGAGACAGUGUCAGGUGGGCAGUUUGACUGGGGCGGUCGCCUCCUAAAGUGUAACGGAGGCGCCCAAAGGUUCCCUCAGAAUGGUUGGAAAUCAUUCGUAGAGUGCAAAGGCAUAAGGGAGCUUGACUGCGAGACCUACAAGUCGAGCAGGGACGAAAGUCGGGCUUAGUGAUCCGGUGGUUCCGCAUGGAAGGGCCAUCGCUCAACGGAUAAAAGCUACCCCGGGGAUAACAGGCUUAUCUCCCCCAAGAGUCCACAUCGACGGGGAGGUUUGGCACCUCGAUGUCGGCUCAUCGCAUCCUGGGGCUGUAGUCGGUCCCAAGGGUUGGGCUGUUCGCCCAUUAAAGCGGUACGCGAGCUGGGUUCAGAACGUCGUGAGACAGUUCGGUCCCUAUCCGUCGUGGGCGUAGGAAAUUUGAGAGGAGCUGUCCUUAGUACGAGAGGACCGGGAUGGACGCACCGCUGGUGUACCAGUUGUUCUGCCAAGGGCAUAGCUGGGUAGCUAUGUGCGGAAGGGAUAAGUGCUGAAAGCAUCUAAGCAUGAAGCCCCCCUCAAGAUGAGAUUUCCCAUAGCGUAAGCUAGUAAGAUCCCUGAAAGAUGAUCAGGUUGAUAGGUUCGAGGUGGAAGCAUGGUGACAUGUGGAGCUGACGAAUACUAAUAGAUCGAGGACUUAACCAUAUAA
RNAcentral lists this ribosomal RNA (2301 nucleotides) under Bacillus anthracis (anthrax bacterium). RNAcentral's name for it is "bacterial LSU rRNA". It matches the Rfam family "Bacterial large subunit ribosomal RNA", at positions 622 to 2925 of the family's 2925-position model. The record is from RNAcentral. Lineage: Bacteria; Bacillati; Bacillota; Bacilli; Caryophanales; Bacillaceae.